RNAcentral lists this ribosomal RNA (451 nucleotides) under Notomastus cf. latericeus EB-89. Its description in RNAcentral is "partial 16S ribosomal RNA". It matches the Rfam family "Bacterial large subunit ribosomal RNA", at positions 1807 to 2555 of the family's 2925-position model. The record is from RNAcentral. Lineage: Eukaryota; Metazoa; Annelida; Polychaeta; Capitellidae.
ACAAAAACAUUGUCGUUUGAGUUUGAUUAUAAACGAUAAGUCCUGCCCAGUGAGAUUAGUCUUAAACGGCCGCGUUAGCGUGAGCGUGCUAAGGUAGCGUGAUAAGUUGUUCCUUAAUGAGGGACCGGUACGAAUGGAUUUAUGAAUCUUUUACUGUCUCCAAAUAUAGAGUGUAAAUUAGGUUUUAGGUGAAGACACCUAGAUGGGGCUAAAGGACAAGAAGACCCCGUUGAGCUUUAGUUUGUUAAGGCGUUUGGGUAAUAGUGGGCUUUGGCUGGGGCGGUUGAUGUCCAUCUAGAGCGACUGUAGAGAGUUAGGUAAUGUAUCGGAUGAGAAGAGUUGCAUGAAGUAAGGAGAGCUACCACGGGGGUAACAGGCUAAUUUACUCAGAGAGUACUUAUCGAUGAGUGGGUUUGGCACCUCGAUGUUGGCUCAAGGUUUCCCGCAGGCG